This 253-nucleotide ribosomal RNA is filed under the name uncultured bacterium. RNAcentral's name for it is "partial 16S ribosomal RNA". It matches the Rfam family "Bacterial small subunit ribosomal RNA", at positions 524 to 776 of the family's 1533-position model. The record is from RNAcentral.
UACGUAGGGUGCAAGCGUUGUCCGGAAUUACUGGGCGUAAAGGGCUCGUAGGCGGCCAACUAAGUCAGACGUGAAAUCCCCAGGCUCAACCUGGGAACUGCGUCUGAUACUGGAUGGCUUGAAUUCGGGAGAGGGAUGCAGAAUUCCAGGUGUAGCGGUGAAAUGCGUAGAUAUCUGGAGGAAUACCGGUGGCGAAGGCGGCAUCCUGGACCGACAUUGACGCUGAUGAGCGAAAGCUAGGGGAGCAAACGGG